This is an RNA transcript of Aricia agestis (brown argus), 3409 nucleotides long. It is a transcript of the gene named lon protease homolog, mitochondrial, with no coding region annotated. The record is from RefSeq and is a predicted model, not a curated record. NCBI's taxonomy places the organism in Eukaryota, Metazoa, Arthropoda, Insecta, Lepidoptera, Lycaenidae. The transcript is spliced from 15 exons.
CUUUGAUUCUGAAAAAAUAACCUAUACAUUUGAUAUUUUUGGAAAAAAAUAAAUAUUACUUUAUGUAUUAUAUUGAAAUAAAUAUUAGUAGAAAAAAUGCACAUGGCUAGUGCUUUAAUUAGGAGUGCCGUUUUGAAUAAUUCCGGCCUUAGGCCGUCAAGUUCAGUAUCGAGCAAAGUUACAAAAAUUGCAUCAUAUUUGCAUAGUAAACCAGGGGAAAGAAGAUUAUUUAGUGCUUUCUCGAGAUGCGGCAACCGUGAAAUACGAAUAUGCGGUCACAACAAUGUGUUUGUGCCAACUGCAGAGAUAGUAAAUAGCAAGAAAUAUUCGACGAACAAGAAAAAUGAAGACGAGGACGAAGGGAUAGACGUGAAGGAUGAGACACCAAUGUUCUCCAGCCAGCUACCGGCCACAGUGGCCGUGCCGGAAGUGUGGCCGCAAGUGCCCGUCAUCGCCAUCAACAGGAACCCCGUCUUCCCCAGGUUUAUUAAGUUAAUAGAGGUAUCAAAUCCAGCAUUAAUUGAUCUAAUAAGACGUAAAGUAAAAUUAAAUCAGCCAUAUGUCGGUAUAUUCCUGAGGAAAAAGGAGGAUGAAAUGUCUGAUGUGGUCUCAAAUCUGGAUGAUCUGCACCAAGUGGGUGUGUUUGCACAAAUACACGAGAUGCAAGACAUGGACCACAAACUACGCUUAGUUGUAAUGGCCCACCGCAGGAUCAAAAUAACAGGACAGUUUAUUGAAGAUGAAAUAGAGACGGGACCUGCAGAAAUGAAGCUCAAAUUUCCGGUAUUUAAUGUUGAGUUUAAUGUUACCCGCGAAGAGACGGACGCCGAGAGGCGGCGGCGGAAAUACCGGAACACGAAGCGGAAGGAAGCAGACAGGAGUAAGGAGGAGAGCCGGGAGAAGCCCCUACCCGAGCAUGUGAUGAUGGUGAAGGUGGAGAAUGUGAUGCACGAGCAGUUCCAACAGACCGAAGAGGUGAAGGCGCUCACGCAGGAGGUCAUCAAGACCAUCAGGGAUAUCAUCAACAUGAACCCGCUGUACAGGGAGUCGCUGCACCACAUGCUGGCGCAGGGUCAGCGCGUGGUGGACAACCCGGUGUACCUGAGCGACCUAGGCGCGGCGCUCACCGGCGCCGACCCCGCCGACCUGCAGGCCGUGCUCGAGGAGAUGGACAUCCCGAAGCGGCUGAUGCUGUCGCUGGCGCUGCUGAAGAAGGAGUACGAGCUGUCGAAGCUGCAGCAGAAGAUCGGCAAGGAGGUGGAGGAGAAGGUCAAGCAGCAGCACCGCAAGUACAUCCUGCACGAGCAGCUGAAGGUGAUCAAGAAGGAGCUGGGCCUGGAGAAGGACGACAAGGACGCGAUCGGGGACAAGUUCCGGGAGCGGCUCGCGGACAAGACCGUGCCGCCCGCGGUGCAGGCCGUCAUCGACGAGGAACUCAACAAACUCAACUUCCUCGAGGGACACAGCUCCGAGUUCAACGUGACGCGGUGCUACCUGGACUGGCUGACGUCGCUGCCGUGGGGCGUCACGUCGCCGGAGUCGUUGGACCUGGCGAGCGCGCGCGCCAUACUCGACGCCGACCACUACGGCAUGGACGACAUCAAGACGCGCAUACUCGAGUUCAUCGCCGUCUCCAAGCUGCGCGGAUCCACGCAGGGUAAGAUCCUGUGCUUCCACGGUCCGCCGGGCGUGGGCAAGACGUCGAUAGCGCGGUCGAUCGCGCGCGCGCUCAACCGCCAGUACUUCCGGUUCUCGGUGGGCGGCAUGUCGGACGUGGCCGAGGUGAAGGGCCACCGCCGCACCUACGUCGGCGCCAUGCCCGGCAAGCUCGUGCAGUGCCUCAAGAAGACCGGCACAGAGAACCCCCUCGUGCUCAUCGAUGAGGUGGACAAGAUCGGUCGCGGCGCGGCGGGCGACCCGGCGUCGGCGCUGCUCGAGCUGCUGGACCCGGAGCAGAACGCCAACUACCUCGACCACUACCUCGACGUGCCGCUGGACCUGUCGCGCGUGCUGUUCGUGUGCACCGCCAACGUGCUGGACGCCGUGCCGGAGCCGCUGCGGGACCGCAUGGAGCUCAUCAACAUGUCGGGCUACGUGGCGGAGGAGAAGCGCGCCAUCGCCGACCAGUACCUGGUGCCGGCCGCGCGCGCCGCCUCCGGCCUCACCGAGGCCCAGCUGCAGCUGCGCGACGACGCGCUCGACGCGCUCAUCCGCUCCUACUGCCGUGAGAGCGGCGUGCGCAACCUCCAGAAACACAUCGAGAAGAUCGCGCGGAAGGUGGCGUACAAGAUAGUGAGCGGAGCGGCGGAGGCGGCGGAGGGGGUGGAGGGGGUGGAGGUGGGGGCGGAGUCGCUAGUAGAGCUGGUGGGACAGCCCGCCUUCAAGCACGACCGCAUGUACGACCACACCCCGCCCGGCGUCGUCAUGGGCCUCGCCUGGACCGCCAUGGGCGGCAGCUCGCUGUACAUCGAGUCUGUGGUGCGGCGACGUACUAGCGGCGCGGGGGGCGGGGCGGUGGAGAGCGGGGCGGGGGCGGGUGCGGGGGCGGGGUCGCUGGAGCUGACGGGCCACCUCGGCGACGUGAUGAAGGAGUCGGUGCGCAUCGCGCUCACGGUGGCGCGCAACUUCGUGGCGGAGCGCGACCCCAGCAACACCCUGCUCGAGACCGAGCACCUGCACGUGCACGUGCCCGAGGGCGCCACGCCCAAGGACGGUCCGUCGGCGGGCGUGACGAUGUGCAGCGCGCUGGUGUCGCUGUCGAUGCGGCGCGCGGUGCGGCCGCGGCUCGCCAUGACGGGCGAGCUCACGCUCACCGGCCGCGUGCUGCCCGUCGGCGGCAUCAAGGAGAAGAUCAUUGCGGCGAAGCGCGCGGGCGUGGACACAGUGAUCCUGCCGGAGGAGAACCGGCGCGACGUGUCGGAGCUGCCGGAGUUCGUGCGUGCCGGCGUCGCCGUGCACUACGUCUCGCACUUCACGCAGCUCUUCGACAUCGCAUUCGAUGACGCCCAGGUCUAGCCGACUCCGACUCCCUGACUGCUGACAUCUCACCUCCGACCCCACCUCCGCGAGUGACACUUAUUGUGACUUUCCGAUCUUAGCCUCUAGCGACGGCGACCAAAAAAAUAAUAAAACAAAAUGCCACUUUACGACACCGGCAAUUCUACCGACAAUGGUGUAGUGACCUAUGCCGCCGCUUCUUUGUAGUGAGUUCUAGAGCAAAAUGAAACCUAUAGUCUAUGUCACAAAGUGACAUUUUAUUUGAUUUUUUAUUGGCCGCGAUCGCUUGUCGUGUCGAUCGGAACGGUACCUAGGUAAGCGUGGCUAUGCUGUCGCAAAGCGAAGCGUCACAAGUCCCAAAGAACAGAGUGCCGUGUCGCGUAGCUCAUACAAUUCUACGAAAAAUUUUUUU